AUUGAACGCUGGCGGCAGGCCUAACACAUGCAAGUCGAACGGUAACAGGAAGCAGCUUGCUGCUUCGCUGACGAGUGGCGGACGGGUGAGUAAUGUCUGGGAAGCUGCCUGAUGGAGGGGGAUAACUACUGGAAACGGUAGCUAAUACCGCAUAAUGUCGCAAGCCCAAAGAGGGGGACCUUCGGGCCUCUUGCCAUCGGAUGUGCCCAGAUGGGAUUAGCUUGUUGGUGGGGUAACGGCUCACCAAGGCGACGAUCCCUAGCUGGUCUGAGAGGAUGACCAGCCACACUGGAACUGAGACACGGUCCAGACUCCUACGGGAGGCAGCAGUGGGGAAUAUUGCACAAUGGGCGCAAGCCUGAUGCAGCCAUGCCGCGUGUAUGAAGAAGGCCUUCGGGUUGUAAAGUACUUUCAGCGGGGAGGAAGGGAGUAAAGUUAAUACCUUUGCUGAUUGACGUUACCCGCAGAAGAAGCACCGGCUAACUCCGUG
Molecule: ribosomal RNA, 490 nt
Filed under: uncultured bacterium
Lineage: Bacteria
Description: partial 16S ribosomal RNA
Rfam family: Bacterial small subunit ribosomal RNA
Source: RNAcentral